RNAcentral lists this unclassified non-coding RNA (249 nucleotides) under uncultured Ascomycota. RNAcentral describes it as "sequence contains ITS2". Lineage: Eukaryota; Fungi; Ascomycota. The record is from RNAcentral.
AACGCACAUUGCGCCCGCUAGUAUUCUGGCGGGCAUGCCUGUUCGAGCGUCAUUUCAACCAUCAAGCGCUGUCGCUUGUGUUGGAGCCCUGCGGCUGCCGCAGGCUCCCAAACCCAGUGGCGGGCUCGUCGUCGUACCGAGUGCAGUAAAUAUACCACGCUCAGGGCACGCGACGGGUGACCGGCCGUAAAAAGCCCCCUAUAUCUCAAGGUUGACCUCGGAUCAGGUAGGAAUACCCGCUGAACUUAA